Taeniopygia guttata (zebra finch) is the source of this 1864-nucleotide long non-coding RNA. Lineage: Eukaryota; Metazoa; Chordata; Aves; Passeriformes; Estrildidae. The record is from Ensembl.
UUUUUUUUUUUUUUUUUGUUCUGAGUUCAUUGAAACUUCUAGAAUUGAUACAGAGGAUCCAGUAUCAAAAUUCUUCCUUUAUAUAAGUUUUCUCAGUUUUAUUUCUUGACUAUUCUUCAUGAAUGCAUUAACUAAAUGCAAAUUAAUGGAACUACCACAUUUCUCUUUUUGUUCAUUAUUCACACCUUCAUUCUUGACAGGUUUUUAUGUUAUAGAAAAGGACAGAUUCAUUUUUCUACAAAUUGACUUUCUACUGUAGGUAUUUCUUGCUCCAAAUUUGUAUCUGAGAAAAUAAAGUCAUCUGAUGAAUGAGUCAUCAGGCUUGGCUGUAAAAGGAGAAAAUCCUUAUGCUCCCCCAAAUUUGUAUAAACUGGAGAAGUGUGUUCCACUUGAGAGCAAGAGCAGCUUGCUGCAACAAUAAAAUGCAUGAAUCCUUGGCAUAAAAAUAAUUAAACAGCCUACUUUUUUUCCUACCCUCCACAUUCUGAAUCUUGUAUUUUGUGUUUGUUUCUCCAUCCAUGUACUGUAACUUUCUUUGAAAAGAGAAACCUUUUAAAAGUUAAAAUAAAGAUUUAUUUCCUUCCUGUUCUUCUCAGCAUUUAAUUAGAUCUCAAUUCCAGAAGACCGAAUGGUUGCUGCUCCACAUCCAUUCCAUUCAAUUGCUUAAGUAACUUUAAUUAAACCAGCAAAAUUAUAUUCAUGGAUUUAUUUUUUUAUCCCUCUACAUAAUCCUAUCUUAACUGAAAAUCAAACCAGAUAAAUGAGACUCUGAAACUUACAGUCUUUUACAGGACUUACCAUGUACUUUUGUUUCUUUCUUUGUUGUUUUGCCUGUAAAAGCAAAUUUAAAAAAAUAUCAAAUAUUAACUUUUGACAAUAAUUAAUUUAAAAUAUUAGAUUUUUUUAAGAGUAAGAUAAAAAUGAGAGAAUAUUCACCAGAUUCCAUUAUUUUUUCUUUUUUAUGUGGUUCUGGAAGAGAAAAAAAGAAGUAAAGUGUACAUUUGUCUUCUUGUAAUGCUUUGUUUGAUUGCCUUGGACAGUAAUUUUUCAUGGUACUAUUGGCCAUUGGAUGUGACACCUUCCUAUGGACUCUCAGUUCAGUGAGUCCUUCCCUGCUUUCCAGUAUGUCAAAAUAAAGCCUUUAUGUUUUUAAUCUCUUCAGUAGUUUUCACACUGGAUACACAGGGUCAGAUUAGCUGUUAAUAAGGGAGAGCAAAGGAUACAUCUUUUAUAAUAAGGUGCUAGAAGUAAACCAUAAAAACAUCUGCAGUUUUGCUUCAUGGUGGUUUAAGUGGAGGUCUGCUACCCAACUAUACAUGCUUGAGGACAGCUACUUUUUUAUGGUAGUUUCUGUAAUACCUCUUUCCACGCUGCAAGAAUGUGCUUUAACGCCCCCUCACAGAAGGAGCAGGGCAGCCUGUCACAGAUAGAGACUGAACAACAUCUACCAGCCAGUGCUAACAUUCACAGUAGCAAAAAAAAUAGUUAAGCUUUUUCUGUCUGCAGAUGCUUUUAAACAGCAUAUGGAAAGGCUGUGCUGUGCAAGUUUGUAUCCACACAGGAACAUUUACUAAAUUCAAGAGUAUCUGGGCUGACUGAUCACAAGAUAGAUCAAAGAAUCAUAAAACCAUAGAAUAUUCUGAGCUAGAAGGGAUAUUAUUGAGUUCUAACUCAGGAUAUUCUAUGAUUCUAUGUUUCACAAGGAUCAUUGGGUCCUGCUCCUGGCUCUCCACAGCAUAAUGCCAAGUCACACCAUGUGCUUGAGAGGAUCAUUCACAUGCUUCUUGAACUCUGUCAGGCUUGGUGCUGUGACCAUUUCCCUGGGGAGCCUGUUCCAGUGCCCAACCACCCUCUGGGUGAAGAA